CCGGACGGUGAGAACAGUAUCCAACCUGCCGUCUACUCUUGGACAGCCUUCUGAAAGGAAGAUUAAUACAAGAUGGCAUCAUGAGUCCGCAUGUUCACAUGAUUAAAGGUAUUCCGGUAGACGAUGGGGAUGCGUUCCAUUAGAUAGUAGGCGGGGUAACGGCCCACCUAGUCUUCGAUGGAUAGGGGUUCUGAGAGGAAGGUCCCCCACAUUGGAACUGAGACACGGUCCAA
Molecule: ribosomal RNA, 233 nt
Filed under: uncultured bacterium
Lineage: Bacteria
Description: partial 16S ribosomal RNA
Rfam family: Bacterial small subunit ribosomal RNA
Source: RNAcentral